GGGGAUUUAGCUCACUGGUAGAGCGCUUGCCUAGCAAGCGAAUGCCCCUGGGUUCGGUCCCCAGCUCCG
RNAcentral lists this transfer RNA (69 nucleotides) under Rattus norvegicus (Norway rat). It matches the Rfam family "tRNA". From Rfam's summary of the family: Transfer RNA (tRNA) molecules are approximately 80 nucleotides in length. Their secondary structure includes four short double-helical elements and three loops (D, anti-codon, and T loops). The record is from Rfam by way of RNAcentral. Lineage: Eukaryota; Metazoa; Chordata; Mammalia; Rodentia; Muridae.